GACGAACGCUGGCGGCGCGCCUAACGCAUGCAAGUCGAACGAGAGAUGAGGAGCUUGCUCUUCAAAUCGAGUGGCGAACGGGUGAGUAACGCGUGAGGAACCUGCCUCAAAGAGGGGGACAACAGUUGGAAACGACUGCUAAUACCGCAUAAGCCCACGGCUCGGCAUCGAGCAGAGGGAAAAGGAGCAAUCCGCUUUGAGAUGGCCUCGCGUCCGAUUAGCUAGUUGGUGAGGUAACGGCCCACCAAGGCGACGAUCGGUAGCCGGACUGAGAGGUUGAACGGCCACAUUGGGACUGAGACACGGCCCAGACUCCUACGGGAGGCAGCAGUGGGGAAUAUUGCACAAUGGGGGAAACCCUGAUGCAGCGACGCCGCGUGGAGGAAGAAGGUCUUCGGAUUGUAAACUCCUGUUGUUGAGGAAGAUAAUGACG
Molecule: ribosomal RNA, 433 nt
Filed under: uncultured bacterium
Lineage: Bacteria
Description: bacterial SSU rRNA
Rfam family: Bacterial small subunit ribosomal RNA
Source: RNAcentral